UUCAAACCUUAAUUGAGAUAGUGUUUUGGCAUAAAAAAUGGCUAUUGCAGGCCGAUACUAAUUCAGGGGGAGAUUCCUAAUCGACGCAAAUAAGCCUCUCCACCAAAUCUCUCUUACUCUCUGUCACACUCUUUAUCACUCUCUGCUAUCGUAGAUCGGAGAAUCUCCUCUGAGAGCUCUAAUCUCUCAGUAAUCUUCACCGCGUGUCCGGAUCUAAUUUUCCUAAUUUUCCCCGAAGAAUCUAAUUUUCCUAAUUUUCCAUUAUGUGGAGGAGAAUCGUUUCAUCGCAUCUUAAAUCCAUCUCCGCCGUCAGGUCCUGCGCGGCUCCGUCAGAUUUGAUUUUCGAUAUAGCCUUUAGCUAUCAGUGUUACAAUCAAUUAUCACUGUGAGAAUUAACAACCAUCGACAUCGAUAUUGUGAGAUAAUUUCACUCGGCGAAGGUAACUUCCUUUUCUCAUAUGUAAAUAUCAACUGUCGAUUUAUUAGAAGGGAACCAAAUCAAAACAAAACAUUUCUAACCGGUUAAGUAAAUUUUUGGUUUAGAUGAGUGGGGAUAUAAUUGUCCAUUUAUUUUUCAAAAACAAGGAAAAGUGCCUUGUACGUGAGAAGUGCCUCAAAAGGAAUAAAAGUUUGUAGAAGUGCCUAAACAUGUCCAAUUCCCAUAAUUUAUUUUGAUUGAUUGGGUUAAUUGGAGAAGACGUGUUGGUUAGAGAGAAUUGGUUAAAAGUGUUGGGGUUGACAAAUAUGACGUCAAUAAAACAAGUACAGCGGUGAGAAGUGAGGAUUGAGGAUUUUAGGUUGCUCGAAACUUUUGUCGAUUGUGUUAUUAAAACGAGGGACAAAACCGUCUUAUCCCUUGCCAAUAUAUGCCCAUUUCCAUUAGUUCAUUCUUUUUUUUUUUUUUUUUUUUCCAGAAACUCAUUUUAAAAGUUCCUCUUCUCUAAUUAUUGAGAGAAAAUGUCUCUAUUCUUACAUAAGUCCCUAUA
This 986-nucleotide small RNA is filed under the name Arabidopsis thaliana (thale cress). RNAcentral describes it as "ATSL052560". Lineage: Eukaryota; Viridiplantae; Streptophyta; Magnoliopsida; Brassicales; Brassicaceae. The record is from RNAcentral.